This 429-nucleotide ribosomal RNA is filed under the name uncultured Alphaproteobacteria bacterium. RNAcentral describes it as "bacterial SSU rRNA". It matches the Rfam family "Bacterial small subunit ribosomal RNA", at positions 29 to 505 of the family's 1533-position model. Lineage: Bacteria; Pseudomonadati; Pseudomonadota; Alphaproteobacteria. The record is from RNAcentral.
AACGAACGCUGGCGGCAGGCCUAACACAUGCAAGUCAAACGGCCCUUCGGGGCAGUGGCGCACGGGUGCGUAACACGUGGGAAUUUACACUUCGGUAAGGAAUAACACAGAGAAAUUUGUGCUAAUACCUUAUAAUGACUCCGGUCCAAAGAUUUAUCGCCGAAGGAUAAGCCCGCGCCUGAUUAGGUAGUUGGUGAGGUAAGAGCUCACCAAGCCGACGAUCAGUAGCUGGUUUGAGAGGAUGAUCAGCCACACUGGUACUGAGACACGGACCAGACUCCUACGGGAGGCAGCAGUGAGGAAUAUUGCGCAAUGGGGGAAACCCUGACGCAGCCAUGCCGCGUGAGUGACGAAGGCCCUAGGGUUGUAAAACUCUUUCAGAUGCGAAGAUAAUGACGGUAACAUCAGAAGAAGCUCCGGCUAAAUUCG